Molecule: unclassified non-coding RNA, 1761 nt
Filed under: Bombus terrestris (buff-tailed bumblebee)
Lineage: Eukaryota; Metazoa; Arthropoda; Insecta; Hymenoptera; Apidae
Description: misc RNA ENSBTSG00005020467.1
Source: RNAcentral
GCAUUUCAUUUAUUAAACAUUAUAAUGAAUACUUUUUACAUAAUUUCUUCAUUUUUAAUAUUAAAUUAUCCACCUAAUUUCUUUUCAUAUAGUAUUAUCUACAUUAUUGCAUCUAUGAAUUUACUAUAUCUGUAAUAAAUAUCUGUAAUCUAGUCACAAGAUGUGUAUAAAUAAAUGAAACUAUUAUGUCUAUUAUACACGUCCAUACUGCUUUUCUGUCGUACACGAAUCCGAUAUGAGGACGCAGCAAUGUUCGAUCACUUUUGCUCGCUACAUACAUAUGUAUAUGUUAUAUAUUAUAUAUAUAACACAUACGCGUGCCCUCGAAAGUUACGUCGAAAUUGGCCUCCUCUUCGUUACAUAGGUUAUUCUCAAAGAGAUGUUACGUCGUUACGCAUUACCACGCAGAUGCAUGUUACACACGCGCGUGUCAACGACACAAAGAAAUCCGAUAGACCCCUCUGUUAUUCUUUCACAUCGAUACCAGACUCGAUCACGAAGAAACAUUUUCAUUCAUACUUUAAAACUCAUUUACGGUUUCCAAACUUGAGUGUUUCAAAGUGAAAGGAUGAUAAUAAGAAUUUUUUAAUACGGAAAGAUUAAAUGUUAAAUACUACGUAAGUUUUGAUGCCGUCGGCUGACUGCGACAAAUCGAUGUAUCUGACAUAAGAGAUAUAGUAAUGUCGGGUUAACUGGCCAGAAUUUUGCCUCGCUAACUGACCGUUUCUACUUCCACCACUUCGUCAAACUGAUUUCCUGAAGGUACUCCUGUGUGUGGAAAAGAGAAGGACGCCGAAAAUGCAACAAUCGAUUACUAAAGCUCGACCUCGAUCGAGUUCCGAUUCUAUGCUAUAUUCUCACCGAAGCUGAGUCAACAUCGUGUAACCAAGUCUUCUGCAAAUACCGAUUGCGUCUUAUUUUUGAUAUUCUGUUAAUAAAUAUAUCAAUUAUACAUGUAGUUUGUACGUUGAUUCGUGUUAAUAAAAAUUCUUUCCUUUUCUUUAGGUCCGAAUAUACUUUCAAUACAUAUUUCGUGUGAAUUAUAUAUAAAGUACUAUCGAUAUCUUCCUUUUCUUGUAAUAGAUUCGUUUAUUCCCUUGCUUAAUUUUUUUAGUGUUAUUCAAAUGUGGCUUACUUUGAUAUUUAAUACUUCUUGAAAAAUAAAUGUAUAUAGGUUCUGAUAAAAAUAGUAAUAUAAUAAAUUGAGAAUAAAUUAGUAAAUGCUUGUUUUAAUACGCUUUGCGUUGCGAAAUAUAAAAUCAUAAAUGACACGCGUGAAAAUGUCCGGCCUAUUUAUUUUGUUCAUCGUAGUUGCAUGUCGGUCUGUGAUUUGGUAUAUCGAUUCGAUUAAAACGAACUCAGUUUUGUUCACACUCUCACUUUCACUUUCUACAUCAUACUGGAUUUUGUAUACUAUGUUACUUCUUUGGUCACUGAUCUAAUACAUUUCACAACUCCCUGGGCUUUUAACACACAAUACUUAAAAUGUAUAUCACAGGCACGUUUUCAGAUGCUCGCUAACGUAACUUGUUAUCGUAAAGGUUACGCGUAUGAAUCAUCAUUUCUUAUCGGUUCUUUACAACAAUUUCGAUACAUAUUUAGAUACCUGUGUUGAGUACGGUCAAGCUUCAUCGGUUUUUCCUCGACGAUGAUCGUCUAGACUUGUUCCGACCACGCUUCGUGACUUGUAUCUGCGAUAUGCAACGUUUAACAUCACCUUUCGCAUCACCGAGAAUUCGUCUAUUUUCCCCCUCUUUCAUG